AUUAAACCAGCUCCACUAGUACAAAUACCACAACUGCGUGGCAUUGGGAAGGCCGCCGCCAUUGUCUUCAUCCAUAUGUUAAUCCUCUCCAUAUUAGCAUAUUCCAGUUAACCCUAAUUUAAGCAGAGGGUGCUGCUACCAUGAGUUUAGGUGAGAAUCUUACUUCAGGUGCAAGUUACCAUGAUGAAAAAAAUUCUGGUUAUUAAAACCUAAAUUCUGCUUUUCUAGUGCAUAGAGCGCAAUGGCACUGGGAAGGCCGCCUUAGGGUAGCCAGGGGCCCAGAAUCCUAUCCAUAUUAGCAUAUUCCAGUUAACCCUAAUUUAAGCAGUGCCAUUUAAGCCUUGGGGGAAACCUAUUCAAGGCACAGAAAACAGAUAUGGACAAAGGCUUUAUUCUCAGUACUACCAUUAGCAGGACAUUGCGAAACUCACUAAUGUUUGAUGCCUCUAGAGAGAAGUCGGUGCUGUUUAUUUUCCCGCACUGCUAUUUCCUGCUUGUUUUUCCAUCUAAGGAUUUCAAAUGCACCUAUUCAUAGUACCGUGAUGCCAGACCUACCAAAGUCACAGAUUAAAGAGGGAAAAUAAAUAUUCAGCUGAACUUUAAACUCAGUGUGGAGUUAUUUGCAUUUUUCUUUUAAGGCUUCCCGUUUUCAUCUUCACAAAACAAAUAAUGGGUUAAGCCACAGAAGGCGAAGAAAUAAUGUCAGUUCUCCUUUUAGGUCAGCUUUCCACAUUCCACGUUCAUUUGAAGAAGGUCUGAGAAGAUCUCCAGGGACCACAGAGAUCUUCAGAAAUUUGGGGCUCCUGUGCCUUCAUUAUUGUCCAGUGUUUGGGUUGACCCCCUUGACUUAUAACACGAUUAUAGAUAUGAU
Xenopus laevis (African clawed frog) is the source of this 871-nucleotide long non-coding RNA. RefSeq lists it as uncharacterized. NCBI's taxonomy places the organism in Eukaryota, Metazoa, Chordata, Amphibia, Anura, Pipidae. The record is from RefSeq and is a predicted model, not a curated record. The transcript has 2 exons.